CCAUUUCUUUGGCAAAUCAUGUAUAACACGAUGGAUUUUAAGUGAUGGAAGUCGCAGUUUCUCCAGUUGUCCAGUAUGCUCCAGUAGAGUUACUUUAAGUGAUAUAAGACAUCACUAUGCAUCUCAAAUUUAUGAGAAGGGAGGUGAAACUUGAACAUGCAGAAGUCAGCUCUAUCGAUGUACUUACCAGAGCAUUUAUGAUACUGUCUUUGUUAAGGGAAGCUCAUGCUCUGUAUCUGACUAUGAUUAGUUUCAAUUUUGAAAAUCUAAGAUUGUGUUGUAAAUGGGUAAUGAGGAACUUCAAAAGCUAUAAUUUUGAAUUAGUCAGAAAAUUGUUCUAUUUAAUACAGUACACUUUAUACAUAUCAGGGUCUCCUGAUAUGGUAAAUUUGUAUAUAUUACGUUUUGAAAUACAAUAAUGGAGAGAUUAAUGUUUUUUUUC
Long non-coding RNA from Cryptomeria japonica (Japanese cedar), 442 nucleotides. RefSeq lists it as uncharacterized. NCBI's taxonomy places the organism in Eukaryota, Viridiplantae, Streptophyta, Pinopsida, Cupressales, Cupressaceae. The record is from RefSeq and is a predicted model, not a curated record. The transcript has 2 exons.